Molecule: ribosomal RNA, 497 nt
Filed under: uncultured bacterium
Lineage: Bacteria
Description: partial 16S ribosomal RNA
Rfam family: Bacterial small subunit ribosomal RNA
Source: RNAcentral
GAUGAACGCUGGCGGCGUGCCUAAUACAUGCAAGUCGAGCGAACAGACGAGGAGCUUGCUCCUCUGACGUUAGCGGCGGACGGGUGAGUAACACGUGGAUAACCUACCUAUAAGACUGGGAUAACUUCGGGAAACCGGAGCUAAUACCGGAUAAUAUAUUGAACCGCAUGGUUCAAUAGUGAAAGACGGUUUUGCUGUCACCUAUAGAUGGAUCCGCGCCGCAUUAGCUAGUUGGUAAGGUAACGGCUUACCAAGGCGACGAUGCGUAGCCGACCUGAGAGGGUGAUCGGCCACCCUGGAACUGAGACACGGUCCAGACUCCUACGGGAGGCAGCAGUAGGGAAUCUUCCGCAAUGGGCGAAAGCCUGACGGAGCAACGCCGCGUGAGUGAUGAAGGUCUUCGGAUCGUAAAACUCUGUUAUUAGGGAAGAACAAAUGUGUAAGUAACUAUGCACGUCUUGACGGUACCUAAUCAGAAAGCCACGGCUAACUACGUG